UGGGGAUUUAAGCAGUGACUCUUAAUAGAGGGGAAUCGAACAGCCAAAGCGGCGCCGGCCCAGCAAGUUGAACAUGGUAGAUAAUCGACACAGCAGGCUGUGUGCGACUGAUUUCUCCUUCCGAGGCCAAGGGUCAUCAGAUCGCCUGGAACUACAGACGGUUGUGGGUCACUGCGUGGAUGCUAGAAUGUGAAAUCCAAACCUCUGCAAGAGCAGCAAACGCUCUUAACCACGGAUCCAUUUCUCCAGACCAGUUUCCAAAAUAUUCUUAAUCAGUGACCCAUCAUCAUUCAACACUCAAAAAGGUUGUUACCCACAGGUUGAGAAUGGAUGCUUUAUAAUCUCACACUUCUUUGUAAGCAGUAAGCAGCCACAGUAUGGCAGAUAAAAUAAUGGAUUUCUGGUUAAUGAAUAUCUGGUGA
Peromyscus maniculatus bairdii (prairie deer mouse) is the source of this 422-nucleotide non-coding RNA. Lineage: Eukaryota; Metazoa; Chordata; Mammalia; Rodentia; Cricetidae. The record is from RefSeq and is a predicted model, not a curated record.